UACGUAGGGGGCAAGCGUUGUCCGGAUUUAUUGGGCGUAAAGAGCGUGUAGGCGGCCAUACAGGUCCGUUGUGAAAACUCGAGGCUCAACCUCGAGACGUCGAUGGAAACCGUAUGGCUAGAGUCCGGAAGAGGAGAGUGGAAUUCCUGGUGUAGCGGUGAAAUGCGCAGAUAUCAGGAAGAACACCCGUGGCGAAGGCGGCUCUCUGGGACGGUACUGACGCUGAGGCGCGAAAGCGUGGGGAGCGAACGGG
Molecule: ribosomal RNA, 253 nt
Filed under: uncultured bacterium
Lineage: Bacteria
Description: partial 16S ribosomal RNA
Rfam family: Bacterial small subunit ribosomal RNA
Source: RNAcentral